This 721-nucleotide long non-coding RNA is filed under the name Setaria italica (foxtail millet). RNAcentral describes it as "long non-coding RNA (SITA_LNC007340)". Lineage: Eukaryota; Viridiplantae; Streptophyta; Magnoliopsida; Poales; Poaceae. The record is from RNAcentral.
UCUUCCAAAUAUAGCAAAAUACGAUGAUUAACUAUCCUACUCAGCUGCAGCAGCCUCCUGGCCAACCACGGCCUCCUCAGCCUCAGCAGGCCUCUCAAGCUUGACACCAACAUCCUCCUUGGUAUAGUCACCAUGGACCUGCGAAGCAAUAUUAAGUGUUAGAAUGACAGGCCACAGAAAGGCUGGAAAAAACAUGAUAGCUCUGUCACUAGGAAUUACCUCCAUUAGCUUCCCGAGGUCAAACUUGGGGGCCUUGAGGAUCUUGACCUUCCGGAUAAAAACAUUCUGCAGUGGGAAGAUGCUUGAGGUAGCCUUUUCAAUUUCCUUACCAAUGACCUCAGGAAUAAACUUAGACACCAACUCCUUCAGGUCACAGGUAGAGGCCUGGUUGGCCAUGAUCUCAACCAUCUUCCGGCGGAUCUGCACAUAGAGCGCAAGUAUAGUGAGACAAACAGGAUAACAUAGUUUCAGGCUGAUUUGAAAGAUACAUGGACAUUGCUAGCUUUAGAACUCUUCUACAUAAGCAACAACAGAUGUUACCUGACGGAUCUGGGAGGCCUGUGCAUAGCAGGUACGCUUCACUUGGUUGGGUCUCCUCUUUGUGAAUCCGAUGCAAAACAACCGCAACAUGUAGUUGUCAGUGGUCUUCACAUCAACAUGGGCCUCAAUCAGUGUCUGCCAUUUCCUGACCAGGGACCGAAGCUUGUCGGUCGUAAAAUCC